Molecule: ribosomal RNA, 273 nt
Filed under: uncultured Clostridium sp.
Lineage: Bacteria; Bacillati; Bacillota; Clostridia; Eubacteriales; Clostridiaceae
Description: partial 16S ribosomal RNA
Rfam family: Bacterial small subunit ribosomal RNA
Source: RNAcentral
UUAACUUAGUGGCGGACGGGCGAGUAACACGUGANGCAACCUGCCUCUUACAGGGAAUAACAACGGGAAACCGUUGCUAAUACCGCAUAACAUGUUAAAAGGGCAUCCCUUUUAACAUCAAAGGAGUAAUCCGGUAAGAGAUGGGCUCGCGUCCGAUUAGCUAGUUGGUAGGGUAACGGCCUACCAAGGCGACGAUCGGUAGCCGGACUGAGAGGUCGAACGGCCGCAUUGGGACUGAGACACGGGCCCAGACUCCUACGGGAGGCAGCAGCG